RNAcentral lists this ribosomal RNA (251 nucleotides) under uncultured prokaryote. Its description in RNAcentral is "partial 16S ribosomal RNA". It matches the Rfam family "Bacterial small subunit ribosomal RNA", at positions 525 to 775 of the family's 1533-position model. The record is from RNAcentral.
ACGUAGGGUGCGAGCGUUAAUCGGAAUUACUGGGCGUAAAGCGUACGCAGGCGGCUGGGUAAGACAGGUGUGAAAUCCCCGGGCUUAACCUGGGAACUGCAUUUGCGACUGCCUAGCUAGAGUUUGUCAGAGGGGGGUGGAAUUCCACGUGUAGCAGUGAAAUGCGUAGAGAUGUGGAGGAACACCGAUGGCGAAAGCGGAUCUCUGGCGCGUUACUGACGCUGAGGCUCGAAAGCGUGGGGAGCAAACGG